GAUGAAGAACGUAGCGAAAUGCGAUACGUAAUGUGAAUUGCAGAAUUCAGUGAAUCAUCGAGUCUUUGAACGCACAUUGCGCCCCCUGGUAUUCCGGGGGGCAUGCCUGUCCGAGCGUCAUUGCUGCCCUCAAGCACGGCUUGUGUGUUGGGCCUCCGUCCUCCUCCCGGGGGACGGGCCCGAAAGGCAGCGGCGGCACCGCGUCCGGUCCUCGAGCGUAUGGGGCUUCGUCACCCGCUCUUGUAGGCCCGGCCGGCGCUUGCCGACAUAUUAAUCUUUUUUCCAGGUUGACCUCGGAUCAGGUAGGGAUACCCGCUGAACUUAAGCAUAUCAAUAAGCGGAGGA
RNAcentral lists this unclassified non-coding RNA (345 nucleotides) under soil metagenome. RNAcentral describes it as "partial contains 5.8S ribosomal RNA, internal transcribed spacer 2, and large subunit ribosomal RNA". The stretch from base 1 to 120 matches the Rfam family "5.8S ribosomal RNA", at positions 35 to 154 of the family's 154-position model. The record is from RNAcentral.